Molecule: ribosomal RNA, 453 nt
Filed under: uncultured bacterium
Lineage: Bacteria
Description: partial 16S ribosomal RNA
Rfam family: Bacterial small subunit ribosomal RNA
Source: RNAcentral
GAUGAACGCUGACAGAAUGCUUAACACAUGCAAGUCUACUUGAACUUCGGUUUGGGUGGCGGACGGGUGAGUAACGCGUAAAGAACUUGCCUCACAGAUAGGGACAACAUUUGGAAACGAAUGCUAAUACCUGAUAUUAUGAUUUUAAGGCAUCCUAGAAUUAUGAAAGCUAUAUGCACUGUGAGAGAGCUUUGCGUCCCAUUAGCUAGUUGGAGAGGUAACGGCUCACCAAGGCGAUGAUGGGUAGCCGGCCUGAGAGGGUGAUCGGCCACAAGGGGACUGAGACACGGCCCUUACUCCUACGGGAGGCAGCAGUGGGGAAUAUUGGACAAUGGACCAAGAGUCUGAUCCAGCAAUUCUGUGUGCACGAUGAAGUUUUUCGGAAUGUAAAGUGCUUUCAGUUGGGAAGAAAAAAAUGACGGUACCAACAGAAGAAGUGACGGCUAAAUACGU